RNAcentral lists this small RNA (2081 nucleotides) under Arabidopsis thaliana (thale cress). Its description in RNAcentral is "ATSL025550". The stretch from base 1671 to 1782 matches the Rfam family "MIR2933 microRNA precursor family". Lineage: Eukaryota; Viridiplantae; Streptophyta; Magnoliopsida; Brassicales; Brassicaceae. The record is from RNAcentral.
CCACGGUUGGGCUGUGUACAUCUCAAAAUCAGAAGCAUGCUGCAAUCUUGGCAAAGGUAUCUUCUCUUUUCCAUAUGGUGUCAAAAGAAUUCCUUCAGUCAACACUACUGCAGCAAGACACAACUUUUCUUCAUCUUCAACAGCAAGUUCACCUUCCUUAGGUUUUAAAAACAAUCGAUCUUCGAGAUCACCAAGAGUAUAGGAUCCUUUACUAGCCCAAAAGUAUGGUUCUUUUACAGGAUCUUUCCCCUUUCGUUGAAGUUCCCUAUGAACAGGUUCACAUUGAAUUCUUGUAUGAACAAAAGACAGUGUAGAGACUAUUAUUACAGGUUUUAUAGUAAAUACUUUAAAAACGAUUGUAAAUCAUGUUUAACACUUUUAAAAGCUUUUAAAAUCCCUUAUAAAUCAUUCAAUGCCACUAAUUUAUGGUUUAAAAACGAUUGUAAACCAUGCAGACACUUUUAAAAUCCCUUGUAAAUCAUUAUAUGACACUUACUUAUGCUUUAAAAACGAUUGUAAAUCAUGUUUAACCCUUCUAAAAGCUUUUAAAAUCUCUUGUAAAUCAUUCUAUUCGACUUACUUAUGCUUAAAAAACGAUUGCUAAUCAUGUUUAACCCUUAGAAAAGGUUUUAAAAUCCCUUGUAAAUAUUCUAUGUCACUUACUUAUGUUUUAAAAUCGAUUGUAAACUAUGCAAACACUUCUAAAAUCCCUUGUAAAUCGUUUUAAGACACUUACUUAUGCUUUUAAAAUCCCUUGUAAACGUGGUUAACACUUCUUUAAGGUUUUAAAAUCCUUUGUAAAUUAUUCUAUGUUAGUUACUUAUGCCUAAAAACGGUUGUAAACCAUGCAUACCCUUUUUCAAAUCCCUUGUAAAUCAUUAUCUGCCACUAACUUAUGCUUCUUAAACGAUUGUUAAUGAAGUAAACCCCUUUUAAAAGCUUUUAAAAUCCCUUGUAAAUUAUCUAUGACACUUACUUAUUUUUUAAAAACGAUUAUAAACUACGCAAACAGUUAUGCAAAUGCCUUGUAAAUCAUUCUACGACAGUUAAUUAAGCUUUAAAAACGAUUGUAAAACUUUAUUACAUGUUGUGAGAUAGAACUCUCUCAAGGAGAAACGGAUAGGUUGAGAAUCAACUCUAAACCAAAGAGUUGAUCCUUUUGUUUUCACUCUCUGCUGCAUGAGAUAGUGAAAGAUUUUUCCAGAAAAUCUGAUUCCCUUCUUAGCCUUCAUUUUUGGUCCCAAUUCAACUAGAGGACCAAGAAACGAACUUCUAAUCUUCUGAAAUAAACACUCGCCUAAAGCUUCCUCUACUUUACUAACUAAAUUCCAAUCCGAGUAUUGUUGAACGGUUCCCAGUGCAAUAGAUUCCUCACCUUCUCUGUAGAUUUGUUCAGGCUAUGUAAGGAUUUCACUCUCUGAAUCCAUCUGCAAAACAUGUUAUGAAACAGCGUCAGAUUUACUAUAAAAUUGACUAUAAAAUUGACUAUAAAAUCGAUUAUAAAAACGAUUACCGUCGGAUCUAUCGAUAUCUCUGGGGAUUGUUUGCGUCGUAGAGAUAUGAUCUGAAUCCUUCAGCGAAGAACAGGUUUAUCGGAGAGGAAAUUCGUCGGCGAUUUUGGGGUUUCUCAGAAAGAAAAUUCGUCGACGAUUUUGAGUGAAAUCGGAGAGGAAAUUCGUUGGCGAUUUUGAGUGAAAUCGGAGAGGGAAUUCGUCGGCGAUUUUGAGUGAAAUCGGAGAGGAAAUUCGCCGGCGAUUUUGAGUGAAAUCGGAGAGGAAAAUCGGAGAGGAAAACGAAGAAGUUUGUGCCAAAACGAAGAAGUUUGUGAAACGAACGUGAAACCUAAUCAUUCAGAGGGUAAGACAGUCAUUUGGCAUAUUAGAAGGGGUAGUUUUAAAAAUGGUCUUCAGGAAAGGGCACUUUUACAAAAGUUUAUUAGAAUAAGGGCAGUUUUGCAAAUCUCCCAAGAUUCAAUUUAAUGUUUCAGAUUUGUUAUCUGUAUUCGUGCUUUUAGCAUUAAAAGGAGUUUUCUUGAAAGUAAUGGAAUUGAUAUGCAAUUCUAAAUAGAAACAUAUACUAUG